CAUAUCAACUUUCGAUGCCAUAUACUGCGCCUAACAAGGUGAUCACGGGUAACGGGGAAUCAGGGUUUGAUUCCG
RNAcentral lists this ribosomal RNA (75 nucleotides) under Pelobates cultripes (western spadefoot toad). RNAcentral's name for it is "SSU_rRNA_eukarya". The record is from RNAcentral. Lineage: Eukaryota; Metazoa; Chordata; Amphibia; Anura; Pelobatidae.